AUGAAUUACACCAAUAACCUACUAUCUUCUCUCCCAACAAAUUUUAAUCAAGACGAUGCGACACCAUUAUGGUUCAACAAGGCAGACAAUGCAUGGCAACUCACAGCAACCACCAUGGUAGGCAUGCAAAGUGUUCCGGGGCUCGUCAUACUCUAUGGAUCCAUGGUCAAGAAGAAAUGGGCCGUGAACUCCGCAUUCAUGGCCCUAUACGCCUUUGCGGCGGUGCUCUUGUGUUGGGUACUUUGGGCUCAUAACAUGUCAUUUGGUACCAAGCUCACCCCAUUUGUGGGAAGGCCUGGUUUUGCUAUGACACCUAGUAUCCUGAACCAAUAUGAAGGCUAUUUUGUUCCAAAGGCUGACUAUGUGUACUUCCAAUUUGUAUUUGCUGCCAUUACUGUGAUAUUGCUUGCUGGGUCUUUGCUUGGGAGGAUGAACUUCUAUGCUUGGAUGUUGUUUGUACCAAUGUGGCUCACAUUUUCUUACUCAGUUGGGGCUUUUAGUAUUUGGGCAAGUCAAGGGUUUCUUGAGAAACACAUUAUUGAUUAUGCUGGUGGAUUUGUGAUUCAUCUUUCUUCUGGUGUGGCUGGUUUUAUUGCUGCUUAUUGGGUAAUUCACCUGUCAAGUUUCAUUUUUCUGAGUAACUUGGUGAUGGUUAUGUAGGUAGGACCAAGGCAAGCGCAUGACAGGCAACACUUUCCACCAAACAACAUAAUUCACAUGUUGGGAGGUGCAGGGUUUCUAUGGCUUGGUUGGACUGGCUUCAAUGGUGGCUCUCCAUUUGCUGCAAAUGAGAUUGCAUCUUUGGCCAUCCUCAACACCCAUGUCUGCACUGCUACCAGCCUUUUGAUUUGGGUCUCCCUUGACAUGAUUGUGUACAAGAAAAGCUCUGUGAUUGGCGCGGUGCAGGGAAUGAUCACUGGCCUUGUCUGCAUCACCCCUGGUGCAGGGAUUGUGGAGCCAUGGGCAGCCGUAUUAAUGGGAGCAUCGUCUGGUUCAAUACCUUGGUACACCAUGAUGGUAUUGCAUAAAAAAUCACCGUUCUUCCAAAGUGUAGAUGACACACUGGGAGUCUUCCACACUCACGCCGUGGCCGGUGUCUUGGGGGGACUGCUCUCAGGCAUCUUUGCAAAACCAAAUCUUCUGAGAAUGAUGUACAGAAGUAGCCUUUAUGGUCCCGGCUUAUUGUACUGCAUACUUGAUGGGAAUCUACAUAAUGGCCUCAGACAAAUGUGGUACCAGAUCCUUGGAGCUCUUUUUAUCAUUGUAUGGAAUGUUGGUGCGACCAGCGUGAUCUGUUACUCAAUCAGCAAAAUCGUUGAUCUGAGGAUGAAGGAAGAAGAUCUUGACAUUGGUGAUGAUGCAGUGCACGGAGAAGAAGCCUACGCUCUUUGGGGUGAUGGUGAGAAGACGCCAGCGACGAUCAGGAGGCAUUUAAGGAUUCCUUCCAUCUGUAGAUGGCAGAAAUGA
Molecule: RNA transcript, 1467 nt
Organism: Fragaria vesca subsp. vesca
Lineage: Eukaryota; Viridiplantae; Streptophyta; Magnoliopsida; Rosales; Rosaceae
Gene name: ammonium transporter 3 member 1-like
Exons: 3
Source: RefSeq, a predicted model, not a curated record